AUCUAUGGCCAUGUCACCCUGAAUGUGCCUGAUCUUGUCUGAUCUCGGAAGCUAAUCGGGGUUGGGCCUGGUUAGUACUCGGAUGGGAGACCACCUAGGAAGACCAGGUGCUGUAGGUG
Molecule: ribosomal RNA, 119 nt
Filed under: Pteropus alecto (black flying fox)
Lineage: Eukaryota; Metazoa; Chordata; Mammalia; Chiroptera; Pteropodidae
Source: RNAcentral